RNAcentral lists this ribosomal RNA (813 nucleotides) under Shigella sonnei. Its description in RNAcentral is "partial 23S ribosomal RNA". It matches the Rfam family "Bacterial large subunit ribosomal RNA", at positions 101 to 956 of the family's 2925-position model. Lineage: Bacteria; Pseudomonadati; Pseudomonadota; Gammaproteobacteria; Enterobacterales; Enterobacteriaceae. The record is from RNAcentral.
UAACCGGCGAUUUCCGAAUGGGGAAACCCAGUGUGAUUCGUCACACUAUCAUUAACUGAAUCCAUAGGUUAAUGAGGCGAACCGGGGGAACUGAAACAUCUAAGUACCCCGAGGAAAAGAAAUCAACCGAGAUUCCCCCAGUAGCGGCGAGCGAACGGGGAGCAGCCCAGAGCCUGAAUCAGUGUGUGUGUUAGUGGAAGCGUCUGGAAAGGCGCGCGAUACAGGGUGACAGCCCCGUACACAAAAAUGCACAUAUUGUGAGCUCGAUGAGUAGGGCGGGACACGUGGUAUCCUGUCUGAAUAUGGGGGGCCCAUCCUCCAAGGCUAAAUACUCCUGACUGACCGAUAGUGAACCAGUACCGUGAGGGAAAGGCGAAAAGAACCCCGGCGAGGGGAGUGAAAAAGAACCUGAAACCGUGUACGUACAAGCAGUGGGAGCACGCUUAGGCGUGUGACUGCGUACCUUUUGUAUAAUGGGUCAGCGACUUAUAUUCUGUAGCAAGGUUAACCGAAUAGGGGAGCCGAAGGGAAACCGAGUCUUAACUGGGCGUUAAGUUGCAGGGUAUAGACCCGAAACCCGGUGAUCUAGCCAUGGGCAGGUUGAAGGUUGGGUAACACUAACUGGAGGACCGAACCGACUAAUGUUGAAAAAUUAGCGGAUGACUUGUGGCUGGGGGUGAAAGGCCAAUCAAACCGGGAGAUAGCUGGUUCUCCCCGAAAGCUAUUUAGGUAGCGCCUCGUGAAUUCAUCUCCGGGGGUAGAGCACUGUUUCGGCAAGGGGGUCAUCCCGACUUACCAACCCGAUGCAAACUG